RNAcentral lists this non-coding RNA (21 nucleotides) under Rattus norvegicus (Norway rat). Lineage: Eukaryota; Metazoa; Chordata; Mammalia; Rodentia; Muridae. The record is from RNAcentral.
UCGAUAUGAUGGCACUACAAG